UACAAAAAGCAUGUAUCUACUUGCAGGAAUAAAUUUGCAAGAGGAAAGUCUGGACACCACGGGAAAAGAUUAAAAGCUAACGGCUUUGGCUUGAAAAUAUAAACAAUAAAUUUCAAGUACGGAAAGUGCCACAGAGACAAUAAAACGAAAAGUAAUUUUCGCAAAGGUGAAAAGUCAUCUGGUGUAAGAAAUUGCUACAGAUGAAAAACUAAUUUUUAGUUUUUGGAAAACCCUAGUUGGUGCAAUCGGAAUGGUAUUUUUAUAAAGUUAUUUUUCCCUAUUGCUUUUUAAAAAUAUACCGAGCUUGAACUUUGAGGUGACUCAAAGUCUAGAUAGAUUGAUACAGAAGUACAAAAUCCGGCUUAUUACUUUUUGUAGUGU
Molecule: RNase P RNA, 381 nt
Filed under: Candidatus Altimarinota bacterium
Lineage: Bacteria; Candidatus Altimarinota
Description: RNase P RNA component class A
Rfam family: Bacterial RNase P class A
About the family: Ribonuclease P (RNase P) is a ubiquitous endoribonuclease, found in archaea, bacteria and eukarya as well as chloroplasts and mitochondria. Its best characterised activity is the generation of mature 5'-ends of tRNAs by cleaving the 5'-leader elements of precursor-tRNAs.
Source: RNAcentral